AGCUUUGCGCAGUGGCAGUAUCGUAGCCAAUGAGGUUUAUCCAAGGCGUGAUUAUUGCUAAUUGAAAAAAAAAGAAAAAAAAAA
Molecule: small nuclear RNA, 84 nt
Filed under: Cervus hanglu yarkandensis (Yarkand deer)
Lineage: Eukaryota; Metazoa; Chordata; Mammalia; Artiodactyla; Cervidae
Description: U4 spliceosomal RNA (ENSCHYG00000019800.1)
Rfam family: U4 spliceosomal RNA
About the family: U4 small nuclear RNA (U4 snRNA) is a component of the major U2-dependent spliceosome. The structure of U4 snRNA from yeast and human has been reported.
Source: RNAcentral